AAUCUCUAAAAUUCUAUGAUUAGAAUUAGUCUAAACAGAAGAAGAGGGAAAUGAAAGGAAAUUAAACAAAUAAAAGGUUUAAACUAAAAACGUCUGGGACUGAGACUGCAAAGAAAACAAGCCCGGGCAUGCCCGAGUCCAUCUUGAAGCUAGGUCACCCGGUCAUAAAGAUAAGGGAAGGAAUGCAGGAACUGGUUCUGACUAUCUUGGCUGACUCAUUGACCCUCUGGCAGCCCGGCGCCUCCUGAUCGCCCCCCUUUCUAUAGACAGCAUAGUUAAAAGCUGAAACAUUAACCAGAUGCAUUGACGACUCAGAUAAGCCCCCGGCUUUAGAAUUCUUAUAUGCCCUGGCCUGCACGUACUACUCUGCUGACUCAUAAUCAUGUUGUUGAUGUUUGAAUGGGGCAAUCACGUGUAAUCGCGCCAAUUCUUCCUAGCCCCUAACCCCUACCCUAUAAAAACCCUGACUUUUUGAGUCUCAGGGUCGAUUCCUCUGUCUCCUGAGUGAGAUACGUAUUGACCUGGAGCCCCACCAUCAAAGCUGCCUCAUGCUUUUGCAACAAGGUCUCUCAUGUUUUUUUGGGUGACGCUGCAUCCUGAGACUUGAGUGGGGGCUCCUUCUUGGGGGGGCAUCUUACAUUUGCGGGCUCGUCCGGGAUUUGAGGGGUCCCCAAGGACUUGAAAUACCACUUGGAGUUACGUUUUGUAUGUGUGUGGUAUGUUUGUGCGGCCACUGAGUCUGUGCCUUGUUUUUCGGAGUCUGGUGUUCUGGCAGCUGCCAUUGAGGACUGUAAGGACCCACAGGCUGCGGUGGGGGAUGCCCUAAGGCCUGUAGGCUGCACCCCUGGAAGACGUUCCAAGGGAGACCCUGGAGGGAGUGCCCAGGGUAAGGAACAGUCAGGAGGAUCUGGCUGUUGCCUGGCAGAGUAAAGGAGAGAGAGUGUUCUUCCUGCCAGAGAAGGAGUGGAUGCGGAAUCCCACUCUGUCAGAGGUAGCGUGUGGCUUGUUGUAUAAGUCCAGAUGUGGACAAGUUUGUUUAGAUGUCUUAGUGUGUUCUGUCUCUGUCAUUGUGUUGUAUUUAUUCUUAUUCUUCACUAUGGGACAGACCGUGUCUACUCCUUUAUCUUUGAAUAAGGACCAUUGGACGGACGUUAGGGCUAGAGGACGAAAUUUGUCAGUAAUAGUGAAGAAAAAGCCAUGGAUGACUUUCUGCUCCUCGGAAUGGCCUGUUUUUGGAGUAGGUUGGCCACCGGAACAUUUUACUUACCCACCAUAAGGGCUAUGAAGGCCAUUGUUUUUCAGGAAGGGCCAGGGUCGCAUCCAGAACAGCACCCAUACAUGACAGUAUGGGAGGACUUGGCAUGCUACCCACCCCCGUGGGUUCACCCAUUCCUCCCACCUCUCUGCCCUGGCACCAAGAUCCUAGCCAUCUGAGAAAAUGCUGAGAAAGAGAAACCAAAACCACCGCUCGGGGGAGAUGAUGAACACAGCACACCAGUGAUGAAACUCCUCAAGAUCUAUCCAGAGAUUGAAGAACCCCCUGAGUGGCCCGACACCCCUUAACCCCCACCGUAUGCUCCCCAGCUCCAACCUUCAGCUUCCUCGGGACCUCUGCCUCAGGCCUGGGCAGGAGGAGAGGGUCCCUCCACAGGAACAAGGAGCUGGCGAGGAGUCACCCCUGAGGGGCCUGCUGAUUCAACCGUGGCACUUCCACUCAGGGCUAUUGGGGCUCCCCCUGCUGAUCUGGAUAGUCUGCAGCCCUUACAGUAUUGGCCUUUUUCCUCUUCUGAUCUCUAUAAUUGGAAAGCUAAUCACCUUCCUUUUUCAGAGAACCCCGCAGGACUCAUAGGGUUGGUCGAAUCACUAAUGUAUUUGCACCAGCCGACCUGGGAUGACUGCCAACAGCUUCUGUAGACCUUAUUCACCACAGAGGAGAGAGAAAGGAUUUUCCUCGAGGCUCAGAAAAACAUCCGAGAUGAGGUUGGGCAGCCUGUCCAACCUCCAGCCAAGAUAGUUGAAGGAUUCCCGCUAACCCAGCCCCGAUGGGAUUACAAUACAGCACAAGGUUACAUCCCAACAGCCAGCCUUUGUUCGCUUUUGAAUGGCGAGAUUCUGAGAGUGGACAAGCUGGACAGCUCACAUGGACGAGGUUGCCUCAGGGAUUCAAGAACUCGCCCACCUUGUUGGAUGAAGCACUACACCGAGACCUUGCCCCCUUCCGAGCCAGUAACCCACAGGUGACUCUUCUGCAGUAUGUAGAUGACCUCCUACUAGCUGCAGAAACAUGUGAGGACUGUGAAACUGGGACUCAAAACCUCCUGGUCGAGCUAGGUUAGCUGGGGUAUCGGGUCUCUGCUAAAAAGGCUCAGUUAUGCCGGACAGAAGUGACCUACUUAGGAUAUGUUCUGAGAGAUGGACAACAGUGGCUCACAGAAGCCAGAAAACAAGCCGUUAUGCAGAUCCUGGCCCCAACCACUGCUAGCCAGGUAAGAGAGUUCCUGGGGACUGCUAGGUUUUAUAGACUCUGGAUUCCCAAAUUUGCCACUCUGGCAGCCCCAUUGUACCCAUUAACCAAAGAAAAAGGAGAGUUCAUCUGGACCAGAGAACAUCAGCUAGUCUUUCAAACUCUCAAAAAGGCGCUACUGCAGGCUCCAGCAUUGGCCCUGCCAGAUGUGAGCAAGCCUUUUACCUUAUACAUUGAUGAAAGAAAUGGGGUGGCAAGGGGAGUCCUUACCCAGCUUUUGGGGCCAUGGAAGCACCCAGUAGCCUACUUAUCAAAGAAGCUGGACCCUGUGGCCAGCGGAUGGCCCUCCUGCCUGCAAGUGAUAGCAGCCACGGCUGUGCUAGUAAGAGAUGCUUACAAACUGACUAUGGGCCAGAAUGUUACCAUAAUGGCCCCGCACUCUCUUGAGAGCAUUGUCAGGUAACCACUGGACCGCUGGAUGACUAACGCCAGAAUGACGCACUACCAGAGCCUAUUGCUGACAGAGCAAGUAAGUUUUGCACCCCCAGCCAAUCUCAACCCUGCUACUUUACUACCUGGGGUUGACGAGGCCCCUGCACAUAAGUGUGAGGAAAUACUGGCAGAAGAGACUGGAAUCUGGCCAGACUUCACAGACCAACAUUGGCCAGGGGAGAUGACCUGGUUCACUGAUGGAAGCAGCUUCAUGGUAGAAGGUAAGCGGAGGGCUGGGGCAGCAUUAGUGGAUUAGUGGAAAGUCUGUCAUAUGGGCCAGCAGCCUGCCGGAGGGUACAUCAGCUCAAAAAGCAGAACUUAUCUCACUAAUUCAAGCCUUAAGGCUGGCAGAAGGAAGGACUCUUAAUGUCUAUACCGUCAGCCGGUAUGCUUUUGCCACGGCCCAUGUUCACAAAGCAAUAUACCAACACCAUGGACUGCUAACGUCUGCCGGCAAGGAUAUCAAAAAUAAAGAAGAAAUUCUCAGCUUAUUAGAAGCUGUCCAUCUGUUCCAUAGAGUGGCAAUUAUCCAUUGCCCAGGACACCAGAAGGGAACGGGGCCUGCUGAAAAGGGAAACCAAAUGGCAGACCAAGAAGCCAAAAAAGCAGCCCAAGGGCCAAUGACUCUGGUGGCAAGAACCCAACAGCCCGCCAACGAGGAAAUAACUAAAAGAACCCUCACAGAUGAAGAGGGGCGAGAUUACUUAGAUAACAUACACCAUCUGACUCAUUUAGGAACUAAAAAAUUAAUAAAAUUGGUUAGUAAGUCCCCCUAUUACAUUCCUGGAUUAAAAAGAAUUGUAGAAGAGAUAGUAAAAAACUGCCAUGCUUGUGCACUUACCAACGCCGGGUCUAGCAGGCUCCAGGAAGGAAAACGACUGUGACGAGACAGGCCUAGAGCCUACUGGGAAACCCGACUUCACUGAGGUGAAACCGGCUAAGUAUGGAAAUAAAUAUCUCUUAGUUUUCAUAGACACCUUCUCAGGAUGGGUCAAGGGGUUCCCCACCAAGAAGGAAAGAGCUAUUGUAGUGGUCAAGAAGAUACUUGAAGAAAUCCUUCUCCGCUUUGGGAUACCUAAGGUAAUGGGGACAGACAACAGACCUGCCUUUGUCUCCCAGGUAAGUCAGGGAUUGGCCAGACAACUGGGGACUAAUUGGAAAUUACAUUGUGCAUACAGACCCCAGAGUUCAGGACAGGUAGAAAGGAUGAAUAGGACGCUAAAAGAGACUCUAACUAAAAUAGCCUUGGAGACCGGCGGAAGUGAUUGGACAGCUGUUCUCCCUUAUUUCUUGUUCAGGUUUUGAAAUACCCCUGGACCCCUUGGCUUAACCCCUUUUGAAUUAAUGUAUGGGGCGCCCCCGCCCAUUUUUAUGACCGUAGGGGAUAAGAAUCACCUGAAUGUGUCUUUCUCUCCUUCUUCUACUCUUUUGGCUCAAUUAAAAGCUCUCGAAAUAGUAAGAAAAGAGGUCUGGGAACAGCUAAAAGAAACCUAUGUUGCUGGUGACACAGGUGCCGCACCAGUUUGAAGUAGGAGACGCAGUCCUGGUGAGGAAACAGCGAGCAGGGAACCUAGAGCAGAGGUGGAAGGGGCCCUUCUUGGCCCCUUCUGACAACGCCCACCUCGGUCAAAGUGGAAGCAAUCCCCACUUGGAUCCACGUGUCCCAUGUCAAGAGAGCACCCCCUGGAGUCAGCCAUGAUGAGUGGACUUUGGAGAAGACUACUAACCCUCUUAAGUUGCGCCUGCUUCGUAGGAGCGAUCCCAAAGGACUUCAACCCCUACAGUCCUGUUCAACAAACGUGGGAGGUAUUCAAUGAGGGGGGUAGGGCUGUAUGGACAAUCGCCGAGGUACACCCCCUGUGGACUUGGUGGCCUAAUCUUUGCCCUGACAUCUUUAAGUUUGCUAUAGGAGCCCCUCCUGGAUGGGACCUUUAGGGGUACUCUGACAUUAAGAGGGCACCUUUUAAACCCCCUCCGUACGUAGAAAAACAUUCGAGAGACCCAUGGGGUGGUUGCUCUAACCAAAGGAAUAGAAGCAUGCUUCAAACCCAUCCCUUCUAUGUCUGCCCCAGGCCCCACCAAAGUCAGUCCCUCAAUCCAACAUGUUGAGGUAAGACUGACUUCUUUUGCAAGAGCUGGGUUUACAAGACUUCAGGUACAGCCCGCUGGAAGCCCUCCUCGAGCUGCGACUAUAUUAGAGUAACAGCCAAUUAUUCCCUAGUGUCUUACGUACCUGGAGGAUUUCACCUAGACGAGUGUACUGACUGGUGCCAUCUGCUCCGUGCCACCUUCACUGAACCAGGGAAAAGAGCUCUGGGAUGGACAAAAGGGUAUACCUGGGGUCUUAGGAUUUACAAGGAAAGAUAUGAUGAGGGAUUAUUGUUCACUAACAGAUUAAAAUAGAGACCCCCUACAAUCCUUUAGGCCCCCCCAACCAAGUCCACACCCCUUACCUAUACCAUUACUCAGCCUACUCCGGUGAUUGCGGACCCCCUUAAUAUGGUCGCUCUCACCCAACCUCCCACUCUUCAAGUACCUCUAACUAUUACCUCCACAAUCCCUUCAACAAGACAGAGGAUGUUUAACCUAGUGAGAGGAGCCUUUUAUGCCCUUAAUAGAACUGAACCAAGCGCUACUGAGGACUGCUGGCUAUGCCUGUCCUCCGGUCCUCCUUAUUAUGAAGGAAUUGCCUUCAAUGGAGAUUUCAACAGAACCAAUAGCCAUACUUCCUGCUCUUGGGGAACAGGACAAAAACUGACCCUGACUGAAGUAUCCGGGAGGAGUCCAGGUCUCUGUAUAGGCACCCCACCUUCCACCCACAAACACCUAUGCGGACAAAUUCAAUCAGUGUCCAGGACAGAAGCUAAUUACUAUCUUGUACCCUCCCUGGUUGGCUGGUGGACUUGCAAUACAGGACUUACUCCCUGUGUAUCAACUAAGGUUUUUAAUUCAUCUCAUGAUUUUUGUGUCAUGAUCCAGCUGUUACCCCGCGUAUAUUAUCACCCUGCAUCCAGUUUAGAAGAAAGCUAUGCUGGCCGGCGGUCAAAAAGAACCAAUUACUUUAACCCUGGCUGUAUUCAUGGGAAUAGGUAUGGCAGUAGGAGUGGGGACGGGAGUGUCAGCUUUGAUAGAAGGAAGACAAGGAAUUCAGUCUUUGAGGGAUGCUGUCAAUGAAGACCUAGCAGCAAUAGAGAAGUCCAUUGACCCUUUAGAAAAAUCUUCGACUUCCCUGUCUGAGGAAGUUUUGCAGAACAGGAGAGGCCUUGAUUUGUUGUUCCUAAAGGAAGGAGGACUGUGUGCUGCCCUUAAAGAAGAGUGCUGCUUCUAUGCAGAUCAUACAGGAAUACUUAGAGAUUUUAUGCAGAAA
Mus musculus (house mouse) is the source of this 6323-nucleotide long non-coding RNA. RefSeq annotates it as predicted gene, 46468. The transcript has 2 exons. Lineage: Eukaryota; Metazoa; Chordata; Mammalia; Rodentia; Muridae. The record is from RefSeq and is a predicted model, not a curated record.